GACGAACGCUGGCGGCGUGCUUAGCACAUGCAAGUCGAACGGAAAGGCCCUGCUUUUGUGGGGUGCUCGAGUGGCGAACGGGUGAGUAACACGUGAGUAACCUGCCCUUGACUUUGGGAUAACUUCAGGAAACUGGGGCUAAUACCGGAUAGGAGCUCCUGCUGCAUGGUGGGGGUUGGAAAGUUUCGGCGGUUGGGGAUGGACUCGCGGCUUAUCAGCUUGUUGGUGGGGUAGUGGCUUACCAAGGCUUUGACGGGUAGCCGGCCUGAGAGGGUGACCGGCCACAUUGGGACUGAGGUACGGCCCAGACGCCUACGGGGGGCAGCAGUGGGGAAUAUUGCACAAUGGGCGGAAGCCUGAUGCAGCAACGCCGGGGGCGGGAUGACGGCCUUCGGGGUGUAAACCGCUUUCGCCUGUGACGAAGCGUGAGUGACGGUAAUGGGUAAAGAAGCACCGGCUAACUACGUG
This 468-nucleotide ribosomal RNA is filed under the name uncultured bacterium. Its description in RNAcentral is "partial 16S ribosomal RNA". It matches the Rfam family "Bacterial small subunit ribosomal RNA", at positions 28 to 507 of the family's 1533-position model. The record is from RNAcentral.